This 305-nucleotide ribosomal RNA is filed under the name uncultured bacterium. Its description in RNAcentral is "bacterial SSU rRNA". It matches the Rfam family "Bacterial small subunit ribosomal RNA", at positions 335 to 659 of the family's 1533-position model. The record is from RNAcentral.
UGCCUACGGGGCGCAGCAGUGGGGGAUAUUGCACAAUGGGGGGAACCCUGAUGCAGCGACGCCGCGUGGGUGAAGAAGCGCCUCGGCGCGUAAAGCCCUGUCAGCAGGGAAGAAAAUGACGGUACCUGAAGAAGAAGCCCCGGCUAACUACGUGCCAGCAGCCGCGGUAAUACGUAGGGGGCAAGCGUUAUCCGGAUUUAUUGGGUUUAAAGGGUGCGUAGGCGGAAUGCCAAGUCAGCGGUAAAAUCGCGGGGCUCAACCUCGCUACGCCGUUGAAACUGGCGUUCUUGAGUGGGAGAGAAGUA